RNAcentral lists this ribosomal RNA (452 nucleotides) under uncultured bacterium. Its description in RNAcentral is "bacterial SSU rRNA". It matches the Rfam family "Bacterial small subunit ribosomal RNA", at positions 29 to 524 of the family's 1533-position model. The record is from RNAcentral.
AGCGAACGCUGGCGGCAGGCUUAACACAUGCAAGUCGAGCGGCCGUAGCAAUACGGAAGCGGCAGACGGGAGAGUAACACGUGGGAACGUGCCCUUUAGUUCGGAAUAGGCCAGGGAAACUUGGGUUAAUACCGGAUAAGCCCUAACGGGGAAAGAUUUAUCGCUAAAGGAUCGGCCCACGUCUGAUUAGCUAGUUGGUGAGGUAAUGGCUCACCAAGGCGACGAUCAGUAGCUGGUCUGAGAGGAUGACCAGCCUCACUGGGACUGAGACACGGCCCAGACUCCUACGGGAGGCAGCAGUGGGGAAUAUUGGACAAUGGGCGCAAGCCUGAUCCAGCCAUGCCGCGUGGGUGAUGAAGGCCCUAGGGUUGUAAAGCCCUUUCGGCGGGGAAGAUAAUGACGGUACCCGCAGAAGAAGCCCCGGCUAACUUCGUGCCAGCCGCCGCUGUAAC